UACGUAGGGUGCGAGCGUUGUCCGGAAUUACUGGGCGUAAAGAGCUCGUAGGCGGUUUGUCGCGUCGUCCGUGAAAACUUGGGGCUCAACCCCAAGCUUGCGGGCGAUACGGGCAGACUUGAGUACUGCAGGGGAGACUGGAAUUCCUGGUGUAGCGGUGAAAUGCGCAGAUAUCAGGAGGAACACCGGUGGCGAAGGCGGGUCUCUGGGCAGUAACUGACGCUGAGGAGCGAAAGCGUGGGGUAGCGAAACAGG
This 255-nucleotide ribosomal RNA is filed under the name uncultured bacterium. RNAcentral's name for it is "partial 16S ribosomal RNA". It matches the Rfam family "Bacterial small subunit ribosomal RNA", at positions 524 to 776 of the family's 1533-position model. The record is from RNAcentral.